Molecule: non-coding RNA, 392 nt
Organism: Drosophila virilis
Lineage: Eukaryota; Metazoa; Arthropoda; Insecta; Diptera; Drosophilidae
Source: RefSeq, a predicted model, not a curated record
GCAGUAACAUAAAUUGCCAAACAGUUAGAAAACCCGGUCACACUGCGCUCAAUUCGAGGUAAAAAUCUUAAACAAAAAGUCAUUUGUGUGAUUUUAAAGUGCACUGAACUUUCGUAAAGAGUACAACAACAACAGCAAACAGCAAAAACAAUAAAUAAAAAGAAACAUGGAUUUUGAGCAUGCCGAUAACGAUAACGACAAUGAGCAUAAUCCGAAUUUAUCCACGGAAAACAGCAACGCGAGCAGCAGCAACAACAGCAACAACAGCAAUUUACAGGCAGAGGCCACAACAGCAACAGCUGCUGUUAAUGCAACUGCAGCCAGCGGCAGCAGCAGCUCAGCUGCAGCACUGUUAUUUAACAUAGAGGCUGAACAGGCCGCAACAAACACAA